This is a long non-coding RNA of Homo sapiens (human), 3010 nucleotides long. Ensembl annotates it as NR2F1 antisense RNA 1. Its record names the gene NR2F1-AS1. Lineage: Eukaryota; Metazoa; Chordata; Mammalia; Primates; Hominidae. The record is from Ensembl.
GGACGGGAGCCGCUCCCGGGCGGCACACAGCCGAGUCCCUCCUCCCCUCCCCGCAGGCAGCCUGUGCCUUUUCUCCAAACGAAGACAGCACUUUGAAAAUUCUUUCAAUGGAUUUUUUUUUCCUUGAAAGAUCGUACUGGGGGAAAAUGAUACUUCUAUUAGUUACAUAUUCUCCAAUCGCAUACUCGCACCCCCCUCGUUUUGAGAUCGCUCCCCUAGGCAGGCUCAGGCGGGCGCGGAGCCGCGCGGAGUGACAAAGCCGCCGCUGCCGCCGCCGGGGGUGGGAGCCGCGCUCGCCCGCCCGCCCCUCGACUCGCGAGGGCGUAAAAGUUUGUCUCAGCUCGAGCAUUCCUAGCGCCAACACGCCCUCAGGUAAAGGUGGAAGUAAAUGGCCACGCUGUAUUGACAGAGCAGGUAGAUGAAACUCAAGAGAAAAGGUGUGGAUAAAUGAAACUAGCCCAUGAUGAACCUGUUUUCUCCGUGACCACAAUAUUAACCAGGAUGAAUGGCGGUGGCAGUGGGCCUGCAUCACAGGUUGCAGCAGAUGUUCUCAAUAUUUCUAUUAAAAUUUCCUUAUUUCCAUAUGCAAGAGGAGCCCCAGAGCUGCAUCCUUAUGGUAGCUACCAUGCCGUGAUGUAAGCUGCCAUUCACUGGGGAGCUUUGGCAAUAGAAUUGGCUAGAUCAGGAAGCCUAUGUCAACUAUGGAACAACAACUUGCAGCUCAUCUCUAUUGAUGAUGGAAUCUCGCUAUGUCACCAGGCUGGAGUGCAGUGGCGCAACCUCGGCUCAGCGCAACAUCCGCCUCCCGGGUUCAAGUGAUUCUCCUACCUCAGCCUCCUGAGUAGCUGGGAUUACAGGAAUCUAAUGACCAUUGAACUGUGGCCAUGACUUCAAUUACAAGUAUUUUCUUCACUAAUGUCAGACUGUGGGCCUUUGUAUAUACACUUUUAACAAACUUUUUGGAAGUGCAAUACAUAUCGCAACAACUUCUCAAUGCUGAAUCAUAGUAUUGGAAGACAUUUUAAGCAACAAUUAAACUCAACUUAUUUACUACCAAUAAUGUACAUAAGUCAGCUGAAGUGAGGAUAACAUGAAUAGCACAAAUACAUUAUGAUUGCUGCCUGGCCAACAGUAAUUAUAAGAAACUGUCAGUUUUGAGAUGUGUCUUGAUUUCAGAGAUGUUAAAAAAGUUUGUAAGUUACCAUUGAUAAAAUAUGAGUUUGCUUCCACAAAUAUUCUUUCUUCUGUCCUUCUGGAACUCAAGAGUAAACAUAUAUUAGAUUUUCUCACCAUUUCAUGCAUGCUGGUUCCUAGGCUACUCUCUGAGUCAUUUUUUUUUUCUUAUCUGCCCUCCAGUUCACUAGUUCUGUCAUUUUCUGGGUCUGAUCUGCUGCAAAUGCAAUACAUUGAGUUUUAAAUUUCAGUCAUUGUGUUUUCAUUUCUAGAAAUUUCAUUUGACUCUUUCUCAAAUUACUUUUCCAUUUUUUUUGUAGUUUCCUAUCCCUGGAGAUAUUUUCAAUCAUGCCAUUUAAUUUUUUAAAUACGCAAGUGUAGUUUUAUAAUUUGUGUCUGAUAAUUCUAAUAUCUGAAGUCUUAGUAGGUCUGUUUCAGUUGUCCUGUAAUUAUGCAUGUUUUUGCCCAUGUUGCUUUGUUUCCUUGUAUGCUUGGUUAUCUUUCUUACUGCCCUUGCAAAAUUAUUUGGAGAGUCCUGGAGGCUUAAAUGAAGAUAACUUUUAGGAAUAAUUUGCAUUUGCUUUUGCCGAGGAUCUUGGGAUCAUUUCAACCAAAAUCUUAGCUUGAAAUUCCGCAAUCAAUCAAGGUGAUGAGAACCUGGUCAGUAAAUCCUAAUGAGGGCCAGGCUGUGGCCAAAGAUUUUUAGACAGAUGUUUCCCUCCUUUGCCAUUUCUCUUUUCUUUCCUCCUCUGCUCCUCUUAGUGUCCAGACAACCUUCAUGGAAGUCCUUGGGGUGGGUGGGAAAUGAGGACGGCAGGUUUCAUUCUAGGUAUAGCCCUUUGAGGUCUAACUUAAUGCAGAGAGAGUUUUCUGGUCUAUGUGCCACCUUACAUGGGAUCUUGAGCCUUGAUUUCUAAACCCCUUGCCUUUGAUGUUUCAGAAUUGAAGCUUAAAUUUGCCAACAGGCAAAUGUCCUCAAGGCAAAUUGGCUUAGGUGUUCGAUAUUCUUCUUACCAGAAAGGUAAACUUGGGUUUUUUACUUCACCCAGGAUUUGGCAUGACAGUUCCCCAUUAUCUUGUCAGCUUAGUGCUUUAAGUGAUUGCAUUUAAAAAAAUUCUGCAUUUUCAGUUUUUAGCAGGAGGAAUGGCCUCAACUAGUGGUUUUCAACUGGGGAUGAUUUUUUUCCCCUAGGGGACAUUUGAUAAUGUUUGGAGAUGUUUUAGUUGUUAGAACUGGGGUUGGGGGAACUACUGUCAUCUGGUGGGGAGAGACCGGCAAUGCUGUUGAUCUUACUAUAAUGCACAGGCCACCCCCAACAACAAACAAAUUACAUAGCCCCAAAUAUCAAUAAUGCCAAGGUCCAAAUAACCUAACCUUCCAUUACUGAAAAUAGAAGUUCAAGAAGAUAGUUUAUAAUUUAAAAAUUUUUAGGUCUUAAUAAGUUGUCAUACUUUCACAGGUUUUAUUUCAUACUAAGUAAUUUAUUUCAAAUUUUACAUUCCAAUUACAGAAAAUUUUCUAAGCCAGUUUUUGUUCUUCAUGAGUAUUACUAUCAAGGUCACAUUUUUCAUCUAGUAUGUUUUACCCUGGUACUUGUUGGCAGGGUCAGGACUAAGGUGAGAUGCGCAAGGCAUUUGCCUCACACAAAAUGCACAAUGAAUAAAAUGUCAAAACUUUAAAUAAAGACAGAAUCACUAAAAGUACUUUGCCAUAUUGGAACCUGAGGCAAAAAGAAAAAUAAGUAAUAAUAUUUAAAAUUUUGAUCUCUUGUUCAUUGUAGAUUUUUACAUUAAUUUUGAUUGUUUAAAACAUUGCAUUAAAAUAUUAUUUAAUGUG